Molecule: ribosomal RNA, 515 nt
Filed under: uncultured soil bacterium
Lineage: Bacteria
Description: bacterial SSU rRNA
Rfam family: Bacterial small subunit ribosomal RNA
Source: RNAcentral
AAUCAACGCUGGCGGCGCGCUUAACACAUGCAAGUCGCACGAGAAAGUGGAGCAAUCCAUGAGUACAGUGGCGUACGGGUGAGUAACACGUGGAUCAUCUGCCUCUUGGUGGGGAAUAACCCUGGGAAACCGGGGCUAAUACCGCAUAAGCCUGCAAAGGGAAAGCAGCAAUGUGCCGAGAGAGGAGUCCGCGGCCGAUUAGCUAGUUGGUAGGGUAAUGGCCUACCAAGGCAAUGAUCGGUAGCCGGCCUGAGAGGGCACACGGCCACACUGGCACUGAAACACGGGCCAGACUCCUACGGGAGGCAGCAGUGGGGAAUCUUGCACAAUGGGGGCAACCCUGAUGCAGCGACGCCGCGUGAGCGAUGAAGCCCUUCGGGGUGUAAAGCUCUUUCGGCAGGAACGAUAAUGACGGUACCUGCAGAAGAAGCUGCGGCUAACUACGUGCCAGCAGCCGCGGUAAUACGUAGGCAGCAAGCGUUGUUCGGAAUUACUGGGCGUAAAGAGUGUGUAGG